CCUGUGCUGCUGUGCCUCCUUCUCCCUGUGUCCCAGUGUUUGCUCUCUUCUUCCCAGGAGCCGCUAUGUCCAGGUGCGGAAGUGUGCGGCCAAACUCCUCCUGUCCUUGAUGGGGAAAAUUGGAGUCACGAAGCUCGCAGACACACCCAGGGCUGAGAGCCUGGCACAGGUGGCAGGGAAGCUUGCUCAGGACUGUCACAAGGACACAAGGCACUAUGGACAGGAGAUGGUGAAGAUGUUGCUAAAUCAUCAAAAAUUUAAAAGGCUUUUGGAGCAAUCUGUUUCUACCAUGACCUGGAAGAUAUUCUGUCAAGAAUUAAGAAGAAAGAGAUGGAAAACCAGAAGAGUGAAGGCCCAUCUAGCUAGCUAG
This 370-nucleotide long non-coding RNA is filed under the name Cyanistes caeruleus (blue tit). Its description in RNAcentral is "lncRNA (ENSCCEG00000007347.1)". The record is from RNAcentral. Lineage: Eukaryota; Metazoa; Chordata; Aves; Passeriformes; Paridae.